GGUUAAUUUUCGGUUAACCGAUGGUAAAAAAAAUAUCCGUUGACCGACUUUCGGUUAAUUCGGUUUCGUUAACGGUUCGAUUAUUGCACACCCCUACUUUGUGAUAAUCGAAGAUUCACACUAAAAGAGCUACUUUAGUCAUUUUCUUGAUAUUGAAUUAUGAUUAUGAUAACUAACCAACACAUUAAUUGAAGAAGAACUUUUUAACAAACAAAAGGAAUAGCAAUGGCAAUGGCUAACUAUAAUUUUUAUAAAAGAUUAUACGUGUCAAGAUUAGGUACAAAGAAUUCACGGGGAUAAACAAUAGAACAUGAUGAUGAUGAAUAACACAAGUUGACUUUUUAACUAACACAAAAAAGGGUUGGACCACACAAGAUUAAGGUGCAUCCUUUUCAAUUAUUUAUUGUUUCUUUGAAAAUAUCAACCAAUCCAGUACGGCACUUGGCCCAAUAAAUAAAAAAGUCCAAAAAGAUUAAGUGCUAUCAACGAUUUCCCAUGACAAAGUAGUUAUUUGACUAAAUAAUUCCAUUAGUUAUAAUUAUAUUUAUUUAUUUAAUAUUGAUAAAAUAUACAAUUUAAUUUAAAAAAAUAUUUUUAUUUUUUUUCUUUGUAAGAAAUUAAUUUAAGUGAACUUACUCAUUUUCUUUUUUUUUUCUUUGUAAGAAAUAAAUUUAAAUGAACUUACUCAUUUUCUUCCCUAUAAAAGCAAGAGUA
Molecule: long non-coding RNA, 714 nt
Filed under: Helianthus annuus (common sunflower)
Lineage: Eukaryota; Viridiplantae; Streptophyta; Magnoliopsida; Asterales; Asteraceae
Description: hypothetical non coding rna
Source: RNAcentral